RNAcentral lists this transfer RNA (69 nucleotides) under Trachelus iudaicus. RNAcentral describes it as "tRNA-Cys". The record is from RNAcentral. Lineage: Eukaryota; Metazoa; Arthropoda; Insecta; Hymenoptera; Cephidae.
AAUCUUAUAUUUUAAGUAAAAUUUUAAAUUGCAAAUUUAAAGAAGUAUGAUUUAAUAAUACUAAGAUUU